CCGGUGGUACAGGAUGGACCCGCGUCUGAUUAGCUGGUUGGUGAGGUAACGGCUCACCAAGGCGACGAUCAGUAGCCGGCUUGAGAGAGUGAACGGCCACAUUGGGACUGAGACACGGCCCAAACUCCUACGGGAGGCAGCAGUGGGGAAUAUUGCACAAUGGGGGAAACCCUGAUGCAGCGACGCCGCGUGAGUGAAGAAGUAUCUCGGUAUGUAAAGCUCUAUCAGCAGGGAAGAAAAUGACGGUACCUGACUAAGAAGCCCCGGCUAACUACGUGCCAGCAGCCGCGGUAAUACGUAGGGGGCAAGCGUUAUCCGGAAUUACUGGGUGUAAUAGGGUGCGUAGGUGGUAUGGCAAGUCAGAAGUGAAAACCCAGGGCUUAACUCUGGGACUGCUUUUGAAACUGUCAGACUGGAGUGCAGGAGAGGUAAGCGGAAUUCCUAGUGUAGCGGUGAAAUGCGUAGAUAUUAGGAGGAACAUCAGUGGCGAAGGCGGCUUACUGGA
This 505-nucleotide ribosomal RNA is filed under the name uncultured Lachnospiraceae bacterium. RNAcentral's name for it is "bacterial SSU rRNA". It matches the Rfam family "Bacterial small subunit ribosomal RNA", at positions 212 to 733 of the family's 1533-position model. Lineage: Bacteria; Bacillati; Bacillota; Clostridia; Lachnospirales; Lachnospiraceae. The record is from RNAcentral.